This 1420-nucleotide long non-coding RNA is filed under the name Pan troglodytes (chimpanzee). Its description in RNAcentral is "long non-coding RNA NONPTRT014427". Lineage: Eukaryota; Metazoa; Chordata; Mammalia; Primates; Hominidae. The record is from RNAcentral.
AAAGCGUCCGUGGUCUCUGCCUGGAAGUCUGAGACGGUCUCCCCGAUGGGGCUAUUCCCGCCCGGACCCUGAGGGAUGAGAGUUGCAGCCUAGAAAACCAGAAAUUUUUCUACUAAGGACGGGGCUGAAUUGGAGGGACUGUGCUGACAAAUCCUCUACUUGAAAAUCCCCCAGCUAAGGAGUAUCUGCCCAAGGUCGCGGCCACCCAGAUGUUCGGUCCCCACUCCUUCCUCCGCUGAAAAGUCGCACCGAUGACUAACGUUGCCUGCCGGCCUGGUGGUUUGAAAACGAAUGCCGGGCAUUGAUACAAGGAUAUCCUCCCCUACCCCUGGGAUUCUGGUCUAAGCAAAGGAGGCCGAAUGGAGAACUAAGAUAAUUAUCUAAGUAAUCUAAAAAGCUCAAAGACAUCCCCAAGCGGACCUUGCUCCAGUGGUCUGUGAUGGCAGCCUAGUGGACAGUUUUCUAGUGGCCCUCUGGGGUUAAUUGCCUUAAUCUUCCACUCGGUCUCCCCCAGCAAAGGGAAAGAUGCUAAAGCAGCUGUGGACUUGCAGCCUCCCUCCUGUGUGUGCAGAGCCCCCAGGAAUCACUGCCCCAGUGCAGCAGGAGAAGCGCCUUCCCUCAUGCCCUAAGCCUGCCUUUUCUGUUGUCCCCCAGCUCCUGGGCCAGGUGGAGCCCGCCCUGAAGCUGGUUUCUACCUGCCCUCGCCUCCCCACUGCAGCCCACAGUUCGGCUUUCAGGGCUGAACCCAGAGCCCAGAGGAUGGAGAAGCCAGAAAGCGGGGAGGUAAGGGAGAGGGCGUCUAGGCACACCACAGAGGUGAUUGGGUUGUGACGGGGACAAUCCGCACAACACGAGCUAAGCUCACACCCCUAGGGAGUGAUUUUUCCGGACUGCCCCCAUCCCAAUCUCCACUCCCUCUGCUUUACUUGAAAAAGAAAAAGAAAGAGAGCUCCUUCAGGCUCCUGGUGACCCAUAUUUAGGACACCAUCCCAUCCCCCAGCACACACAUUCCUACAGUGUCACCUGGUCCCCAAUCCGAGCAUUUCCUGGAGUGCUCGCCACAUUCCCCUUCCUGGUGCUUUUCUAUGGUGGGGCCAGGGGAGGCCUUGUUUUGAACAUCGCUGUGACAUCACUCCCCCUCCUCCGAGCUAAGCACCCCUCGGUGGGCCCUGGGAAUUGUUGCCCGGCCUGCUGGGGAGGGGCGGAGUGUGGGCCCAGGGAGGGUUCCACCAAACAUUCAUUACCGCUGUCGCCUGCGGGGCCUUCAGGCUGCAAGUAAGUGAGGUGUCAGAAAAGAAGCCGAAGGGUUCCCGUGGGGGCUCUUCUGCCAAAUGAGUCAAGAGAUGUGCGGAAGAGGAUGAUUGAAGUACCCCGUGGAGUAGCAGAAAGGGGCAUCAAAAACUGUAACCUGAAAAUAAAA